GUCUCUGUAGCUCAGCUGGAUAGAGCAACCGCCUCCUAAGCGGUAGGUCAUCAGUUCGACUCUGAUCAGGGACA
Molecule: transfer RNA, 74 nt
Filed under: Dellaglioa algida
Lineage: Bacteria; Bacillati; Bacillota; Bacilli; Lactobacillales; Lactobacillaceae
Also listed under: 22 other names
Description: Lactobacillus algidus tRNA-Arg
Rfam family: tRNA
About the family: Transfer RNA (tRNA) molecules are approximately 80 nucleotides in length. Their secondary structure includes four short double-helical elements and three loops (D, anti-codon, and T loops). Further hydrogen bonds mediate the characteristic L-shaped molecular structure. tRNAs have two regions of fundamental functional importance: the anti-codon, which is responsible for specific mRNA codon recognition, and the 3' end, to which the tRNAs corresponding amino acid is attached (by aminoacyl-tRNA synthetases). tRNAs cope with the degeneracy of the genetic code in two manners: having more than one tRNA (with a specific anti-codon) for a particular amino acid; and 'wobble' base-pairing, i.e. permitting non-standard base-pairing at the 3rd anti-codon position.
Source: RNAcentral